Sarcophilus harrisii (Tasmanian devil) is the source of this 985-nucleotide long non-coding RNA. RefSeq lists it as uncharacterized. The transcript is spliced from 4 exons. The record is from RefSeq and is a predicted model, not a curated record. NCBI's taxonomy places the organism in Eukaryota, Metazoa, Chordata, Mammalia, Dasyuromorphia, Dasyuridae.
ACUAGACAUGAUAAUAUUAGACUCAGUAAGGUGUGUCAUCUUACUGAGUUAAGACCUUUUUGGCUGGAUUAUUUUGAAAUCAUCUUUUAUUGAAAAGACUAAUCAUUGUUCAUAACAGCAUUUUGUUUUAGUUAAUCUUUUCUCAUCAAGAAUGCUUCUGUAAAUUUUUUAUUUUUGGAGGGAACAUCACUGAAGGCAGCUAGCAUACACAGUUCCUGUGAUAUGUUGGAAGAAUUGAUCGAGGCAGCUCUAAUGUCAACAAUUUGUUAGCUCAGAUUCUAUUGGUGGAUAUAAAUGAUUGCUUUUUGUGAUUUGUAAUGUAAGCUCAUCUUUGAUAUGUUCACUGAAAGUAUAUUUGGGACAAUUCCAGUAGAAGAAAAGGUCUACAAGAUCCGUGGAUCCUUUCCCCUUCUGAUCCUUAAAGAGACAGUGCUGUCAGCCAACAGACUCUUCACUGUCUCCCAUUAAACAUUUGUGGGUGCCACACUACAGAGAUAAGAUGUUAAGAUGGUAGCACAGAGCAGUGGACAGCCCUGAAGAGGAAGAAUAACUGAAAAGCAGAGAUGACAUCAUUAGAGAACAUGGCCAGGUAUACAUACUGGUGAUAUGUACCUUUUAUAUUCAGAUCUUUCAAGCAUUUACCCUGGUCACACGUUCUCCUUAUAUAUGCUUUUCCCUACUAGUGGUUAACCUGUGGGACAGUAUACUUGUUAUAUGAGGAAAAGAGGGACAAAAAUCUUUUCUUGUUACUUAAUUUGUCAUGACAAUUGAAUAAAUAUAUUUUGUUUUGAACAAAUGAUUUCUCUGGCCUUAUAAAAUUAAAUACAUCAUUGAGAGUUGAUGGGCUAUGUUAGUGGCUGUUGGAUGGUUCAUAAGGAAUUUUGAAUCUGGGGGGUUCAGGUACAAGGAGGACCUUGUAUAAUUGUAGUAGAGACCCAUAAAAUUUGGUCUGUUGUAAUACAUUCUUAAAAUGUCUGUGUUCCAG